GUCUUCUGAGAAGAAAUGGGAGAACAAGAAAGGAAGAAAAAUAGAAGAAAAGGAAAUGGAUGCUCCGAAUGUGAUUCCGUUUUAACAAAUUAUGUUAAUAUAAUCCUAUUCAAAUUUUCAAAUUUCAAUCCUGGGAAUCGUUAUCUUUUUAUUCAAAAUUUAUAAUCGUUUUCCACCCCCCAUCUAUAAUACCUUUUCAAAAAUCUCACUCUGUUUCUUUUACCCCUUGAACCUCUUCAGCAAUUGUUCCCUUUGUUAGCCAAAAUGAGAGAGUUCACAUUCGUCAAGCUGGUAACACCUGUUGGGAACUCUACUGUCUUCAACAUGGCAUUCAAGUCUUUCUUGUGUUCAUUUUCCAAUACAAACUCAAUAUUUUCUCCUUUUUCUUCGUUGGUUAUUUAAUCUUCUUUCGUUCUUUUUUUUUAUCUUGAACCGACCAUAAUUGAUGAACUUAGAACCUAUUAUUCCACCAUGAACAACUUAUUAGGGGCAAAGAAGAUGCUGCAAUCAACUUUGCCAGAGGCCACUACACAAUUGGGAAGGAAACGGUGGAUCUGUGCCUUGGUAGGAUCAGGAAGCUAGCAGAUAACUGUACUGGACUUCAAGGGUUUUUGGUGUUUCGUGCUUGGAUAAUUGCUUCUUAAAACGCUUUCAGUGGAUUAUGGUAAGAAAUCAAAAUUGGGCCUCACUGUUUAUGCUUCCCCAGAGUUUCCACAUCUGUUGUAGAGCCUUACAAUAGUGUUUUGUCAACCCUUUCUCUGUUAGAGCACACUGAUGAUGCGGUUCUCCUUGAUAAUGAAGCUUUUUGCCGAAGGUCUCUCGAUAGUGAGGGGCCUGCUUACACUAAUCUCAAAAGGCUGGUCUAACUUUGUGGGUUGAAGUGGUUUAGGUAUUUGUUAUAGAAAUCUGGAGUAGUUUUCCUCUAUUUAGGUGAUGGAUUUUAGAUUUGAGGGAUGUUGAGAGGGAAUAUGAAAUUGUUUCUUCUUCAUUCAUACCUUCUUAUGUUUAGCAAAUCAUAUGCAUUCAUAAGUAUGAUGUUCAUACAGAUAAAUGUAAUAUGAAGUUGAUAAUGAAGUCGAGCAAAUUAUAUUAAGGAAA
Gossypium arboreum is the source of this 1098-nucleotide long non-coding RNA. RefSeq lists it as uncharacterized. Lineage: Eukaryota; Viridiplantae; Streptophyta; Magnoliopsida; Malvales; Malvaceae. The record is from RefSeq and is a predicted model, not a curated record. The transcript has 2 exons.